This 249-nucleotide ribosomal RNA is filed under the name uncultured bacterium. RNAcentral's name for it is "partial 16S ribosomal RNA". It matches the Rfam family "Bacterial small subunit ribosomal RNA", at positions 796 to 1041 of the family's 1533-position model. The record is from RNAcentral.
CUAGCCGUAAACGAUGUUCACUAGGUGUUGGGGAGAUAUACUCUUCGGUGCCGCAGCUAACGCAUUAAGUGAACCGCCUGGGGAGUACGAUCGCAAGGUCGAAACUCAAAGGAAUUGACGGGGACCCGCACAAACGGUGGAGCAUGUGGUUUAAUACGACGAUACGCGUGGAACCUUACCCAGGCUUGACAUGUAUUGGACAGCUCUAUGAAAGUAGAGCCUUUUCUUCGGAAACUGAUACACAGGUGU